This 253-nucleotide ribosomal RNA is filed under the name uncultured bacterium. Its description in RNAcentral is "partial 16S ribosomal RNA". It matches the Rfam family "Bacterial small subunit ribosomal RNA", at positions 524 to 776 of the family's 1533-position model. The record is from RNAcentral.
GACGUAGGGCGCGAGCGUUGUCCGGAUUUAUUGGGCGUAAAGAGCUCGUAGGCGGUUUGUCGCGUCGUCUGUGAAAUCCCACGGCUCAACUGUGGGCUUGCAGGCGAUACGGGCAGGCUAGGGUUCGGUAGGGGAGACUGGAAUUCCUGGUGUAGCGGUGAAAUGCGCAGAUAUCAGGAGGAACACCGGUGGCGAAGGCGGGUCUCUGGGCCGAUACUGACGCUGAGGAGCGAAAGCCAGGGGAGCAAACGGG